CUCCGAAAGGGCAAAGCCAGGGUGACCUGGCGACGCAAAGCCGCGAGACCACAUGUGUGGUUAGUCGGGCUGCCGAAG
Molecule: non-coding RNA, 78 nt
Filed under: Desulfuromonadales bacterium
Lineage: Bacteria; Pseudomonadati; Thermodesulfobacteriota; Desulfuromonadia; Desulfuromonadales
Description: c-di-GMP sequence
Rfam family: c-di-GMP-I-GGC riboswitch aptamer
Source: RNAcentral